CGACCCCGCCCCGGCGCCCGGCGGCCCCGCCCCGGCGCCCGGCCUCCCCGGAGGACCGCCCCGCCCCGCCACGCCCCGCCCCGGCCGCGCAGCCUCGCAGGGGAAAUCCGCCCCCGGGACAGAGUCAGGUGGUUGGUCGGAGGGUGGGGGGCUACCCGAGGGCGGCCGUGGAGGGCGAGGGUGAGGGGCGUCCCCUGGGGAGCGCGCCGCUGUGGUGACCCGCUCACCUCGUGGUCACCGCCCUGCCCUGGGGUGGAGUGUGGGGCAAAGGGGCGUGGCUUGAGAUGCACUUGCCUCUUGCUUAGCUGUGCACCUCUGGCAAGCCUGUUGACCUCUCUGAAUCACAGUAUCCUCGUCCCUCGUAAAAAUAGGCAUAAAAAUACGGGAUAUAUAAUGAUAACCCUACCUAUAGACUUGUGAGGAGUGAAAGAGUUCCUAUUCACGUUAGUUAUUAGUGUUAGUUGGCAGUUACAAGAACUUUCUGGGACUGGGGCAGAGUAAGAAGUGCCCCAAUGAUACUUUUGUUUGUUUGUUUUGUUUUUAAUUUCUCAAGAGUUUAGGACGAUGUCUGGAAUCUAUUUGGUAAUCAAUACAUAUUGUGAGUGAGUGAAGGAAAGGAGACCUUAUUGCAACGAUAAUUGGAGGGAUAAUGGGAAUGGUCUGCCCUACUUUUACCGCGCACAGGCUCCGGACGCGCAGGCGCAGCGGCCAUGGCUCACGGCCCCAGCCGCUCCACGGCACGUGGGAUCCUCCCCGUCCGGGGCACGAACCCGUUUGCCCUGCAUUGGCAGGUGGACUCUCAACCACUGCGCCACCAGGGAAGCCCUAUCUCUGAUUUUAAGAGUAUGACCAAGGUGGACAGUUGCUGUUGGGAUCCUGGCUGGUUACAGUACGGCUGGCAUUUCCUCAUUUUGGUAAACUUUCAGGUUGACAAAUGUAAUUAAAGAAAACAGCCUAGAUGCCCUAUGAAAUAAACCACUGUAAGAACAAAGACCAGGGAUGUGGAAGCGAUGUGAUCAAAGCCUAAUGCGCUCCCAAGAGAACUGAAGUGUCAGCAAGGUUUGUGCUGGUUGUUCAUAAAAUAAGCAGUUAUGUGUUUAAGGGGAAAAUCUGCCUGGGACAUCAAAGUCUUCACAGACCGCAAGUUGUAACAGAGUAUCUUUUGAAUGUAGCGGAAAUUGUGUGUCCUGAAAAGACGGAAGCCCGGGCAAAUGUAAGCAUAACUGGAAAUGCUGUUGUUCAAUGUCCUGGAAAUAUGGCUAGGAAACGAAAAGAUAAAUUGUGUGAAAAGUUUUAAACAUUGUGACGUUUGCUAUUACAGCUGAUGAGGUUACAUAUUUAGUAGUAUUUAGAUGUAAUAAUUAGCUCUAUUUAUUCACUCUGGGUUUGAGGGUUUUUUUUUUAAUUAAUUAAUUAAAAAAUUUUUAUUUUUGGCUGCGUUGGGUCUUUGUUGCUGCGCGUGGACUUUCUCUAGUUGCGGUGUCCCCUGCAUUGGCAGGCGGAUUCUUAACCACUGCACCACCAGGGAAGCCCCAAGGGUUUGAGAAUUUUUUUUUUUUUUUUUGCAGUACGCGGGCCUCUCACUGUUGUGGCCUCUCCCAUUGCGGAGCACAGGCUCCGGACGCGCAGGCUCAGCGGCCAUGGCUCACGGGCCCAGCCGCUCCACAGCAUGUGGGAUCUUCCCGGACCGGGGCACGAACCCAUGUCCCCUGCAUCGGCAGGCGGACUCUCAACCACUGCGCCACCAGGGAAGCCCUGAGAAUUUUUAUGAUUGAAAAUAUUUUGGACAGCAUGCCCAUGACAGGCACAAUACAAGGAAGUGAGUAAGAAAUUCAUUUUUGUAACAGAGGAAACUUUCGAACAAUUUUAUGUAGAUGAUGUUCCUGGGAUAGAUGAUGCUCAUAUUGGACUUGCCAUUAAAUGUAAGUUUCAUGUCGUAAGUUACAUGAGGACACAGCUUUUACAUCUACUCAUUUGCAUCAUUCAGCAGAAAUUGCUUUCUGCUGGAAGUUAAAAAUGGAAUACAUCACAGACACAGAGCUCACCACCUGUAAGCUGGAUCUCCUCCUAGGGUUUGGACCACAGAGUGUUCCAGGUGCUGUUUGAUGAAUUGGACACGUAACACAGCAGUCUCCUCACGGCAGGUAGGUUGAGAGGCUUAGUCAUGGCUGAAGCUAAGGAGUAUCAUUGAACUGUUGAAACAAACUCAUUCACAUCAUCUGAGGAAAAAGGAAAAUCUUUGCUUAUGUUAAGCAGCAAAGAUUGUUGUCACAUACUUGGCCCUUUGGGUUGACAGACACUUUGAAUAUUUCCUACAAAGCCAUCCACAGUAGUUAUACAGCAUGAUGGAGACAGUUAUCUGGCACAGUGUUACCUGGUCCUCUUUUCUGUGCUAGAAUUAGUUUCUCGAACUGUAACUGAUGGCCUGAAUUCCGUGAUGGAUACACUGACAACUGACUUUCCAAAGUGGUUUAUUGAUCUCAAACUCUGGAACUAACCUCCCACUGCUCUGUGCUCCUUUAUCAAUUCUUACCUAUAAUGUGGAAGAUGGUCCAUGGUGUCAUACAGGAUGGAAAAUUUAGUACAGUGACACUAGAAAGUCAGACUCCUGCAAAUACCUUAGCAAUUGUGCAGAGACUUUUGGAAAAUCUUUGAAAAUGCCUACGUUUUUCAACAGCUCUUUUCCAAUGUCAAACAUCACUUCUAGUCAAGACUACCUGUCAAGGCUGAAUUCUGAGUUCAUAUCAAACUUAAAACAAGAUUUAGCAAUGAAAUAUUGCUGCCAAAGAAAAAGUUGCAGAUUUCUGGUUCCAAAAUAAAAGUCAACAAAUUGUGAAAGAAAAUAUUAGAAGUAAAAGAUUCCAAUUUUUAUCUUGGUUUUUAUUUAUUUAUUUAUGGCUGUGUUGGGUCUUCGUUGCUGUGUGCGGGCUUUCUCUAGUUGCGGCGAGCAGGGGCUACCCUUUGUUGAGGUGCGCAGCCUUCUUCAUUGUGGUGGCUUCUCUUGUUGCGGAGCACGGGCUCUAAGCGCAUGGGCUUCAGUAGUUGUGGCACGUCGGAUCAGUAGUUGUGGCUCACGGGCUCAGUAGUUGUGGUGCACGGGCUUAGUUGCUCCGCGGCAUGUGGGAUCUUCCCCAGCCAGGGCUCGAACCGGUGCCCCCUGCCUUGGCAGGCAGAUUCUUCACCACUGUGCCACCAGGGAAACCCUUUUAUCUUGAUUUUUUUUUCAAUUUUGAAUUUGAGAUACAAUUGUCAGUAUCACACAUGCACAUAUUAUGUUGUUUGGUUGCAGUCAUAGUUCAGAAAAAUACAGUUUGAUUAUUUUCCUGGCACUUGGUUUGUUUUUCUUACCCGGAAAAUAGACCUUUAUGUUCCUGGCUUCUGUAGUCCCUGGAGUUUUCAAUGAUCUCUUCAAUUCACCUCUCGUGCAGGCAAUGAAUUAUGUGGCUCUAAAGCUUAGCUAACAGUUUUCACCAUAAGAUGAAGUCAAUGAAUCCUUCUUGGAAAAUCAAGCAAUUACUUAAUUCUUCCACUAGUGGGCGGGCACGCUCUUUCUUUCUAAAUAGGAGCCUCAGGGAAGUAUUUUUUUAACAUCUUUAUUGGAGUAUAAUUGCUUUACAAUGGUGUGUUAGUUUCUGCUUUAUAACAAAGUGAAUCAGUUAUACAUAUACAUAUGUUCCCAUAUCUCUUCCCUCUCGCGUCUCCCUCCCUCCCACCCUCCCUAUCCCACCCCUCCAGGCGGUCACAAAGCACUGAGCUGAUCUCCCUGUGCUAUGCGGCUGCUUCCCACUAGCUAUCUAUUUGACGUUUGGUAGUGUAUAUAUGUCCAUGACACUCUCUCACUUCAUCCCAGCUUACCCUUCCCCCUCCCCAUAUCCUCAAGUCCAUUCUCUAGUAGGUCUGUGUCUUUAUUCCUGUCUUGCCCCUAGGUUCUUCAUGACCUUUUUUUUUUUUUCCUUAGAUUCCAUAUUUUAGCAUAUGGUAUUUGUUUUUCUCUUUCUGACUUACUUCACUCUGUAUGACUCUAUAGAUGGAGAGAUAUACCAUGUUCUUGGAUUGGAAGAAUCAACAUUGUGAAAAUGACUCUACUACCCAAAGCAAUCUACAGAUUCAAUGCAAACUACCACUGGCAUUUUUCACAGAACUAGAACAAAAAAAUUUCACAAUUUGUGUGGAAACACAAAAGACCCCGAAUAGCCAAAGCAAUCUUGAGAACGAAAAACGGAGCUGGAGGAAUCAGGCUCCUGUACUUCAGACUAUACUACAAAGCUACAGUAAUCAAGACAGUAUGGUACUGGCACAAAAACAGAAAUAUAGAUCAAUGGAACAGGAUAGAAAGCCCAGAGAUAAACCCACGCACAUAUGGUCACCUUAUCUUUGAUAAAGGAGGCAAGAAUAUACAGUGGAGAAAAGACAGCCUUUUCAAUAAGUGGUGCUGGGAAAACUGGACAGCUACAUGUAAAAGUAUGAAACUAGAACACUCCCUAACACCAUACACAAAAAUAAACUCAAAAUGGAUUAAAGACCUAAAUGUAAGGCCAGACACUAUAAAACUCUUAGAGGAAAACAUAGGCAGAACACUCUAUGACAUAAAUCACAGCAAGAUCCUUUUUGACCCACCUCCUAGAGAAAUGGAAAUAAAAAUAAACAAAGGGGACCUAAUGAAACUUAAAAGCUUUUGCACAGCAAAGGAAACCAUAAACAAGACCAAAAGACAACCCUCAGAAUGGGAGAAAAUAUUUCCAAAUGAAACAACUGACAAAGGAUUAAUCUCCAAAAUUUACAAGCAGUUCAUGCAGCUCAAUAUCAAAAAAACAAACAACCCAAUCCAAAAAUGGGCAGAAGACCUAAAUAGACAUUUCUCCAAAGAAGAUAUUCAGGAAAGUCUUUGAGAACCUUUUCUAUUUUAGGCGGUUGGCCAAGAGUUUUAUCUACUCACUUUUACGGAGAGCUCUGAAUCUUUAUACUCAUGGUCAGAAAUACCUCAGAAAGCUUUUAUAGGAAAAUUCAUAUUGUCUCUCCUUUUUUUUUUUAAAUAUGAGAUUUUGUUGUUGUUGUGUUUUUUGUUUUGUUUUGUUUUGGCUACAUCGUGCAGCAUGUGGGAUCUUAGUUCCCAGACCAGGGAUCAAACCUGUGCCACCUGCAAUGGAAGCAUGGAGUCUUAACCACUGGACCAUCAGAAAAGUCCCUAUAUUGUCUCUUAAUAGUGUAUCUUUUAAUUAUCAUGUUGGUUAAUAUUUAUUUUUGAAAGACAUAUUGCAAAUAAAAACUAUAUUCCUUAAAUAGACUAACUUUAGGUGACUACAGAGGCUGUUUCCAAAGAAUUCAAAACAUCAGAAUACUAGAAUACCAGUAAACAC
Molecule: long non-coding RNA, 5357 nt
Organism: Orcinus orca (killer whale)
Lineage: Eukaryota; Metazoa; Chordata; Mammalia; Artiodactyla; Delphinidae
Exons: 4
Source: RefSeq, a predicted model, not a curated record